UGACAAGAACACUCGACAGCGUCCUUCUCGUUUCUAUGGCAACGGUUUCCAACCAAAACCGCAAGACAUCAGCCAAUAGUGUGGCGUAGUAGCAGUAACGCUGCGGCCAUUUUGGAAACUGGAUCAUCAAAAAGAAGGCCACUUGGCUCUGCAUCCUCAGUAUUCUCAUCAGCAUGAUUCAAGGGCUGGAAAUACUUAAAGCUGUCAGCAGAUAAUGGUGGGGAUGGUGUUGAAGGAUUAGAGCAGUCACUGGGUGUAUUCCAACUCCAGCAACCACUACUGCUAGUGCUGGAUGAAACAACCCCCAGCUCUUUCCAAGACACAUUCAUAUCUGAGAAGAGAAACAUAAAAGCAUUUUAAUAUACACUCGGAUGUAGUAACUAUGAUUUGGCCAUAUAUGGCACCAUCUUCAAAGGAAUAUGUAAGAGGCUGUUUUCCUCCUUAUUUCAUAAUCUUGGAGCUGCCACGUUAAUGUAAGUCACACAUGAUAAAUGACUUAAUAUGGAGCAUGACACAUAGUUUGUGGGUAAAUGGCUAUAGGGGAGUAUUCCCUGUUGGAUGUUCAUAUAUAUCUAUUAUAUUAUUCUUACAACACACUUUGCAAGGAUAUAGGUAGCUUUACCAGUAAGUCGCAUAGGAGGGCUUCGAACCAAUGGACUUGUAGACAAACUGGUCAGUACAAUUGCAGCUGUCACUUUGUCCAUAUCUGCUUCACCUUCAAAUAUUCUAGAAUACAGUGGAAAACAUGUAUUUUUUAAAGGUAUGUUGCAAAUAUUUUGUGCACAUCAGCUAGCACAAUGGCCAAUUUAACAAAGAUUAUUAGCAGUUAUUUGGUCACGUAGCCAAUUAGAACCACACAUCUGAAGGUACAUUUGUUGAGAUACAUCAACAAUAAUAAUUGUAAUAAACACAAAUGUGGAUUAUGUUGAGUCAGUUGCACUCAAUACGACUAUGCAUGAACUUCUAGCUCCUAUGCAAUUUAUAGACUUUUAAAUUACAGGUGCACAUGAGCGUUAUCAUCAUAUGAAUGUUUUGCAUUAUAGUUCAUUAUCUGAUCAGUUUUAUCCAUUCUGCUCUGUUGUGUCUCAUUUUAA
Molecule: long non-coding RNA, 1094 nt
Organism: Xenopus laevis (African clawed frog)
Lineage: Eukaryota; Metazoa; Chordata; Amphibia; Anura; Pipidae
Exons: 3
Source: RefSeq, a predicted model, not a curated record